RNAcentral lists this ribosomal RNA (252 nucleotides) under uncultured bacterium. RNAcentral describes it as "partial 16S ribosomal RNA". It matches the Rfam family "Bacterial small subunit ribosomal RNA", at positions 524 to 776 of the family's 1533-position model. The record is from RNAcentral.
UACGUAGGGUGCGAGCGUUGUCCGGAAUUAUUGGGCGUAAAGCGCGCGCAGGCGGUCAUUUAAGUUUGGUGUUUAAUUCCAGGGCUCAACCCUGGGUCGCACUGAAAACUGGGUGACUUGAGUACAGAAGAGGAGAGUGGAAUUCCACGUGUAGCGGUGAAAUGCGUAGAUAUGUGGAGGAACACCAGUGGCGAAGGCGACUCUCUGGGCUGUAACUGACGCUGAGGCGCGAAAGCGUGGGUAGCAAACAGG